Molecule: unclassified non-coding RNA, 303 nt
Organism: Cricetulus griseus (Chinese hamster)
Lineage: Eukaryota; Metazoa; Chordata; Mammalia; Rodentia; Cricetidae
Gene: 7SK
Rfam family: 7SK RNA
About the family: 7SK was discovered as an abundant small nuclear RNA in the mid-70s but a possible function has only recently been suggested.
Source: Ensembl
UAAUUUGAUGCUGGCUGUCGGCAUGCUGUAUUGAUCUCCAGGGUUGAUUCCGCUGAUCUGGCUGGCUAGUCAGGUGUCCCCUUCCUCCCUCACCAUUCCAUGUGUGUCCCCUGAAGCUGUGUCCUUGGUUGAAGAGGACGACCUUCCCUGAGUAGAGGAGGACUGGUUUUCAGUCAAGGGUAUACAAGUAGUUGCGCUCCCCUGCUAGAAUCUCCAAACAAGCUCUGUUGUUUAACUUUUAAUUAAAAAAUUUUAAAGGAUUUUUAAUUCCUUUCCCAAAUGGCCCUGCAGAAAGCCACAUAG